RNAcentral lists this ribosomal RNA (271 nucleotides) under uncultured prokaryote. RNAcentral's name for it is "partial 16S ribosomal RNA". It matches the Rfam family "Bacterial small subunit ribosomal RNA", at positions 524 to 794 of the family's 1533-position model. The record is from RNAcentral.
UACGUAGGUGGCGAGCGUUGUCCGGAUUUACUGGGCGUAAAGGGAGCGUAGGCGGACUUUUAAGUGAGAUGUGAAAUACCCGGGCUCAACUUGGGUGCUGCAUUUCAAACUGGAAGUCUAGAGUGCAGGAGAGGAGAAGGGAAUUCCUAGUGUAGCGGUGAAAUGCGUAGAGAUCAGGAAGAACACCAGUGGCGAAGGCGCUUCUCUGGACUGUAACUGACGCUGAGGCUCGAAAGCGUGGGGAGCAAACAGGAUUAGAUACCCGGGUAGU